UACGUAGGGGGCAAGCGUUGUCCGGAAUCAUUGGGCGUAAAGAGCGUGUAGGCGGCCAGAAAAGUCCGCUGUGAAAACUCGAGGCUCAACUUCGAGCUGUCGGUGGAAACUUUCUGGCUAGAGUCCGGAAGAGGAGAAUGGAAUUCCUGGUGUAGCGGUGAAAUGCGCAGAUAUCAGGAGGAACACCAAUAGCGAAGGCAGCUCGCUGGGACGGUAUUGACGCUAAGGCGCGAAAGCGUGGGGAGCAAACAGG
This 253-nucleotide ribosomal RNA is filed under the name uncultured bacterium. Its description in RNAcentral is "partial 16S ribosomal RNA". It matches the Rfam family "Bacterial small subunit ribosomal RNA", at positions 524 to 776 of the family's 1533-position model. The record is from RNAcentral.